UCUUAGAACCGAGUACGAUGAUGCAGUGAAAACAAAGGGAACGCGCUGAUGGCUGUAUCCUGAACAGACAUCCUUCAUUCAGUCUAAAAAAUAUAACGAGGUUGUUCAUUAAUCUCAUUAAAUUAUUAAAACUAUAGUAGCCAGAUACUUUCAUCAAUCAGAAGAUACCUAUUCUGAAGACCGCGGUAAUAUGGCGGAUGCAAACAAUGAAGUUGAAUGCGCUAUGUGCAAAAUUGGGCUGGCAAGCCUCAAUAACAUUCCGAUGGAGCUCCGUAAAUUUGUUCGUGAAGCUGCUUAUGAGUGGUCCUACUUGUCCACCAACAGAAUCUAUAACGAGCAAGACAUUCCGCGUCGUGGACGACACAACUUUCUUGUGCCAAUUUAUCAACCCAGGGAGGACUACCAAGAGUAUAACACUUACCGCCGUGUUAAGAGGUCCUGCGGAAGCAAGUAGAUUGACAGAGAAAAUGAGAGAAGACAUACAGAGUACGGAGAAAUUAAGCCGAUAUCAUUUUGGAAAAGAGACUACAUUGUUGAUCUACAGGACUAGUAUUAAGAUAUUUCGAUAAUUAGUAUUGUACCUACUUCUCUAUAUUAUCUACUAUCUAUAAAAUAUGAAUAUCUAUUUUAUCCCUUCCGCCUAAUACAGUGAGAAAAAUUGUGAGCCAAAUUAUAUUUGCGAAUUAUUAUAAAUUAUAUCUUGAAAUUAGGUCGAUAUUUAUCAAAAUUUUUCUGUCCUUUAUUGUAUUCUGUACUAUAUUGCUUGCGAAAUUAAUUGCAAUUGUUAUUUUUUGCUUGCAAAUAAUCCAGGUCUAAGCUCCCUAUAAAAUAUCUAUAAUGUAUAACCUAAUUAUAAUCGUAGUAAUAAGCGUAUUUAUAAAUUAUUGUUUAUUUAAUUUAUUCGUAAUCGGUUAAUGGUUAAUUGGAUAUUUUUAUCAAUGCUUUGUUACAUUCUUUAACAAUUAAAAUUUUUUUAUUAUUUUGGGUUCAUAGAAACUAUUAUUUUUAGAAUUAUUUCUAUUUUUCCUUAUUCAAUUUACUUUUUUUCUUAUGAAAAUCAUGGAAAAUUAUCAACGUUAAUAUAAUUUCGUAUUCAAAUAACAAAAAGGAUUUAAUUUUUAGAUUAUUAUUUUAUAUUUAUUAACAAAAAAUAUAAAAGAAUAAGUUUGGAUAUUGCACAAUUACAAAAAAAGAGGUUUAAGUCGUUCAUAAAUUUGGAUAGGUCUUUUUCGAUUUUGAAUUUAUUUGUAUCAUUAUAAGUUUUAGCAUGUAAGUUUAGAUUUGAAAUGUCGAAAGUCUGCGCAGAGGCAUGUCCGAUCGCAUGAUCUUUCGCUGGGAAAUUAUCCUCAUGAUUACGGCUCAAUUGUCCAAGUAUAGUCUCUCUCGUUGAUGUCAACCUAGUCAUAUAUUCCCUCUUAAUAAAUGUGUGAACAUUA
Molecule: RNA transcript, 1436 nt
Organism: Zerene cesonia (dogface butterfly)
Lineage: Eukaryota; Metazoa; Arthropoda; Insecta; Lepidoptera; Pieridae
Exons: 3
Source: RefSeq, a predicted model, not a curated record